RNAcentral lists this transfer RNA (61 nucleotides) under Zophoscolex chitae. RNAcentral describes it as "tRNA-Leu". Lineage: Eukaryota; Metazoa; Annelida; Clitellata; Crassiclitellata; Lumbricidae. RNAcentral also lists the same sequence under 3 other names. The record is from RNAcentral.
AGUGAGUUGGCAGAAUAGUGCAACCGACUUAGGAUCGGUAAAUGGGGUAACCCACCCACUA